Long non-coding RNA from Caretta caretta (loggerhead turtle), 1775 nucleotides. RefSeq lists it as uncharacterized. The record is from RefSeq and is a predicted model, not a curated record. Lineage: Eukaryota; Metazoa; Chordata; Testudines; Cheloniidae.
UUUCAUUGGGACUACUCAUGUGAGUAAGGUAAGGAGGACUGCUUAGCUGGAACCAACCGGUGAUUGGAUAGGCUGAAAGACAAGCUAUAUACAUAGUUUGUGGGUCCAGGAAUUGAACUUUGUAUUUGUUAGCAAGAGGCAGAUAUUGUAGUAGCAUGAAUCAUGGGACUGGAAGGGACCUCGAGAGGUCAUCUCGUUCAGUCCCCUGCACUCACGGCAGGACAAAGUAUUAUCUAGACCAGGCUGACAGCAGCUUGUCUAAUCUCCUCUUAAAAAUCUCCAAUGACAGAGAUUCCACAACCUUCCUAAGCAAUUUAUUCCAGUGCUUAACCACCUUGACAGUUAUGAAGAUUUUCCCAAUGUCAAAACUAAACCUCCCUUGCUGCAAUUUAAGCCCAUGGCUUCUUGUCCUAUCCUCAGAGUUUAAGGAGAACAAUUUUUCUCCCUCCUCCUUGUAACAGCCUUUUACGUACUUGAAAACUGUUGUUAUGUCCCCUCUGUCUUCUCUUUUCCAGACUAAACAAACCCGGUUUUUUCAAUCUUCCCCGAGAGGUCAUGUUUUUGAGACUGUUAAUCAUUUUUGUUGCUAUGCUCUGGACUUUCUCCAAUUUGUCCACAUCAUUCCUGAAAUGUGGUGCCCAGAACUGGACACAAUACUCCAGUUGAGGCCUAAUCAACAUGUAGUAGAGUAGAAGAAUUACUUCUCAUGUCUUGCUUACAACACUCCUGCUAAUACAUCCCAGAAUGACAUUUGCUUUUUUUGCAACAGUGUUACUUUGUUGACUCAUAUUUAGCUUGUGAUCCACUGUGACCCCAAAACCCCUUUCUGCAGUACUCCUACCUAGGCAGUCAUUUCCCAUUUUGUAUGUGUGCAACUGAUUGUUCCUUCCUAAGUGGAAUUCUUUGCACUUGUCCUUGCUACAUUUCAUCCUAUUUACUUAUGACCAUUUCUCAAAAUGCUCAUACAGCUACAAAGUUUUUCCUGUAUCAGGGAACAUUUCUCAUUAGAUUUUUUUAGUUACCCUUCCCUAAAUUAACUCAAAGCAUUUCACUUUCCCUCUCUAGUCUGCGUGCAUGUGUUUGAAUGACAUUUUCUUUUCCUCAAUCCCCUUUUACUUUGGGUAGCUACUGAAUCUGUUUCCCUCUCCCUUAUCUGAGCCAAAUAGCUGGGAAGACAAACCCCUUUUUGAAAGCUCUCCCCAGCUGAGGCUGUUUGCUAAACAGGAGAGUAUUUGCAGCUAAACAAGCCACCAGGCUGGAGGAUUAGCUGUGUGUGUGCUGGAAGCCUGCUCAAGGAGUGAAGUCCAGGUGCUGUGUUUGAUUGCAAACCUCAGGGCGAGAGGCACAGGCGGAGUCGACGGAGGAGCGUCAGCCAUUGACUUACCCCAGUGAAGACACCGCGACUGGUGCUGUGAAUGCUGUUCACAGAAGUGCUACAGUGGCCUGACACUUGGGAGUGGUGGUGAGCACCUGUUGAGGAUUGCUGGGUACUCUCAACCACAUUGGCUUCAAUGGGAGUUAAAGAUGCCUUGAAACUCACAGGUUUGGACGAACAUGGCUGCUACUCUGAAACCUGUAAUUGUGAAGAUGACCUCAAAAGAAGACUUGGUCUAGCCUCUACUACAUUCGGAAAACGUUGCAAGAUCUGGAAGGCUAAAGACAUUUCAAUAAAAACAAAACCCCCAUGUAUAUGAGACAAUUGUCAUGCAGAUACUGCUGUCUGGGUCAGAAUGCUAGAGUCUGAAGAAAGCCGAUGACUGACAGAUUUUGACUGC